This is a regulatory RNA element of Daphnia magna, 187 nucleotides long. It matches the Rfam family "Potassium channel RNA editing signal". From Rfam's summary of the family: This family represents a group of sequences related to the human potassium channel Kv1.1 hairpin element which directs the efficient modification of an adenosine to inosine by an adenosine deaminase acting on RNA (ADAR). The ADAR modification causes an isoleucine/valine recoding event which lies in the ion-conducting pore of the potassium channel. NCBI's taxonomy places the organism in Eukaryota, Metazoa, Arthropoda, Branchiopoda, Diplostraca, Daphniidae. The record is from Rfam.
GUCGGUUAUGGAGAUAUGGCACCCAAAACAUGUAAGGGUCUGACAAAUCAUAAUACCGAAAAAUCAAAUGUUAACAUCAUUCAUUUUUUAAUAAUUUUUUGCAGAUGCCGGGAUGUUUGUAGGUGCUUUAUGCGCCUUGGCCGGCGUGCUGACCAUUUCUCUGCCCGUGCCUGUCAUCGUCUCCAAU